Molecule: ribosomal RNA, 279 nt
Filed under: uncultured bacterium
Lineage: Bacteria
Description: partial 16S ribosomal RNA
Rfam family: Bacterial small subunit ribosomal RNA
Source: RNAcentral
UGCCAGCAGCCGCGGUAAUACGGAGGGUGCUAGCGUUGUUCGGAAUGACUGGGCGUAAAGGGUGCGUAGGUGGUAAGAGAAGUCAGAUGUGAAAGGCCUGGGCUUAACCUGGGGAGUGCAUUUGAAACUAGCUUGCUAGAGUAGAGUAGAGGGUAGUGGAAUUUCCGGAGGAGCGGUGAAAUGCGUAGAUAUCGGAAAGAACACCGGAGGCGAAGGCGACUACCUGGACUUAUACUGACACUGAGGCACGAAAGCGUGGGUAGCGAACAGGAUUAGAUA